UGGGAAACUGCCUGAUGGAGGGGGAUAACUACUGGAAACGGUAGCUAAUACCGCAUAACGUCGCAAGACCAAAGAGGGGGACCUUCGGGCCUCUUGCCAUCGGAUGUGCCCAGAUGGGAUUAGCUAGUAGGUGGGGUAACGGCUCACCUAGGCGACGAUCCCUAGCUGGUCUGAGAGGAUGACCAGCCACACUGGAACUGAGACACGGUCCAGACUCCUACGGGAGGCAGCAGUGGGGAAUAUUGCACAAUGGGCGCAAGCCUGAUGCAGCCAUGCCGCGUGUAUGAAGAAGGCCUUCGGGUUGUAAAG
RNAcentral lists this ribosomal RNA (309 nucleotides) under Enterobacter hormaechei. RNAcentral's name for it is "bacterial SSU rRNA". It matches the Rfam family "Bacterial small subunit ribosomal RNA", at positions 118 to 430 of the family's 1533-position model. The record is from RNAcentral. Lineage: Bacteria; Pseudomonadati; Pseudomonadota; Gammaproteobacteria; Enterobacterales; Enterobacteriaceae. RNAcentral also lists the same sequence under 1 other name.